AUUUUUUUUUUUUGAUAACACAAAGCGGGAGAAUUUUGAUAAUCGCGCCUCACAUCUGGUGAAAAUAUAAAGUUCCUAGUUUGUUCCCUCAAGACGACGAACAUGCAAUUAUUCUUCGAUCCUUCGUAGGCACUCCGGCGGACUUGAAGCUGAUGACUCCACCCCCUCUCAAGCGUCUGCAGCGAUGACAUAUAUGAACAAAGUUGGGUAAAAAGAAAGGUUUUCCAUUGGGAUUGAAGUAGUCUAUCAUUCUGAAGAAGACCGUACAGGAAAUAUGUUUGGAGAAGCAAGCGUCACAGAUGAGACUUCCAGCAAUUUGGUGCCAAGCAGGUAGUUUGACCUGAUGUUUAUGAAAUGUCAGCUAAACAGGAAGACAAGGAGCCUGUAUUUGACAGUGAAGACUAUUGUAGGAAUGCCUGAAGUAAGUUCCGAGUUUGCACAAAAUGUUACCUUCAACUGAAACGAAAUCCAAAACUCUCUGCCCACUGGCCAUCUUGAUGCCACAACAAUUGCAUAUUUGAUGAUUAAACUAGAUGAUCUAUUAUUUGUGAUUUCAUUCGAAGUUGAUAGCUUUAUUCUUAACAUUCUGAAUGUGUUUGAAUGCUUGAUGCUGAUAGCUUUAUUUGUAGCAUUAUGAUUUGUGUUUGAAUGCUUGAAGCUGGUAGCUUUAAAAACUUAUAUGUAGAAGGUUAGGGGCUUGACAACUUGGUUUCUGGUUUUGGGUCUGAUAGUUGUUGUCUUUGUGUUGGUUUGGUAGUCUGUUGUGCAUGCUUCCUGUUUAGCUUUCUCAUUAUUGUUGGUUAUUUGUGGAGUUCAGUUUCUGGUUUUAGUUUAGUGUUGAUCCUUGUUAUUUUGAACAAAACCCAUGUCUGGUAAAAUGUUGUUUGUCUGUGAUGGAUCUUUUUUCUCUGGGUUGAAUGUACAUGAACGGUUAUCAAGGUUUCAAAAUAUUAUCGUUUGGGGUUUCCAAGGGUUAGGGUCACUUGAUCUGUCUUAUAAUCUGUUGAAUGAUGGAUUUUAGUGGGAAUUUGUUUUCUUGGAAUCUGCUAGUUUCAUUGCUGAAAUUGAGUUUUAUAAGGUAUCUUAAUACGGAGGAGAAUUCCUUUGUGGGUCCUGUUCCUGAAUGGAUUGUAGGGAUGAAAGGGCUUUAGAAUUUGGAUCUCUCGGAUAAUAACUUUAUUGGCAUUUUGCCAACUCUGUGGGAAAACUUAGGUCUUUGAAAGUGUUAAUUAUGUCAAUGAAUUCUUUGAGUGGUAGCUUUACCAGUAUCUAUGGCUGGUUGUUUAAGCCUUCAAGACAUAGAUUUUAGGCAGAAUCUGUUAACUGGUGAUCUACCUGAGUGAAUUUUUAAGGUGGGUUUGCAUGAAAUCAUGCUCUCCGAAAAAUGUUUCUUGUUUCUAAGUUAAAGUACGGCUGGCUCACUUGGCUGGUUGCUUAUCCAGGGCCCUACACUAGGCGUAUUUCCUGCUGCAAGUCCUGCGAUGCGAUCUUGUAUUGCAGAUUGAACUACUGUUGUGCCAGCCUUUGUUUUCCGUUUCGAAUUUGUCAUUAUUAUAGCUAAUCACACUCUUAUUUGAACAUGAUAUUCCUUCCAAUAACUUUCCCUUUUAAUUGGUUUGCAGAAUACUGAAGCCUGUUAGAUGUUAAACUAAAAUUUCUUGAUGAGCCUACAGACAAAACUAUUGAUUUUUCUAGUAAAGCUUCAUCAUUAGGUUGUAUCAGGUAAUGUGGAAUCCUUCCUCAAGGUAACAUCAAAGCUGAAGCAUGGAGCAACUAACGAUGAUUACACAGAAUAAGCUGCAAUUGACCUGGUAGUGAAACUCAUUGCUGCAUCCUUCCUACCCUACCAAAGAAUUCUCUGAGCUAAUUUUUUAUAUUCAUGCUGACAUGAUUUAUGUCAUCCCAGAUCCUGGUUGAUGGAUUUUGGUCCAGUCAUAUUAUCAGGAACAAGUCAUGUUUUAUAGUCUGUUAUCUUUUCUUUGCAUCUCAAGUUUCUACUAUACUUUUUUAAACCUUUUGCUGGCGUUUUUGGUAUAGUGGCAACUAGUCUGCUACUAAUGAGCUCUUUAGGUUGUUUUUUUGUGCCUAUUUUAGUUUCAGCUUGUUCAUAAAUUCACAUUCAGGUUGCAAUUCGUGAAGACUGUGCAUACUGUUAGUGUUAUUGAUAUGCAGACUGAAAGCUUCUUUGGUAAAAUUGAUACACUUAGUUCAGAGAAAUAAAUUGAUAUACUUCGUUUCAUUCUCUCUUUUCUCUGUUCUAUUUCUUCCCCUACUGGUUCUUAUUUUUCCCGCCUAAUUGUAUCUGCAAGUAGGCUUAGUACACUGAGAUUCACCCUUAUCAGCAUUGUGUAGAUUAAAGAAGUGUGCUUUUCUCCAGUUUGUGUAUGCUUUCGUCUUGCAUUCACUUCAAUAAAAUAAAUAUUAUGGAGUACCUGCUAAUUAGUAUUUGUCAUUUAUCUUGGGUGUAAGACUGCAUCACUUAGAGCUCUAAAUAUGGUAUCAUUAAGGUAAGAGAAUGCAGAAUUUUACUGUGUGAAGUGCAAACUUAAUCAAUCAGGUAAAUAUGUAGCCUAAUGUAACUGUAUAAGCAACAAAUGACCACUUUGUCUUUUGUUUGUUUGGGAAACAAGUCAGUAGAUCAUGUUAGCCGCACCCCAUAUGUUAAAACUGAUUUACUUAAUAUUCUUCUGAUAUUUAUUUGUCUUUUUGAGCUUCUUAUUGAACGGUAAAUUUUAUUCACUUAUUGCAGGGAAAAUGGUUCCUCCAAAUGCAAAAGUGGUUCUUUCCAAUGAGAAAAUGGAUCUUCCAACCUUCGUUGCUGAGAUCUAAAAGGAACUAUAUGCCACCUCAAUUACUUGCAAGAAGACAUGAUUAUCUUAUUUUAUUUUAUUUUAUUUUUUGUUGUUUAGAUCGAACGAAAAUUGAUUAUCUUUUAGGCUUAGAACUUAAAAACGAGAUGAUGGACAUGUGAUUGUUGGUUUCACCUAACCUGGAAUUUUAGAUGAUAUUAAAAUUCUUGAGUAAUGAAAAUCACAUAUUAUUUUUA
Molecule: long non-coding RNA, 3046 nt
Organism: Spinacia oleracea (spinach)
Lineage: Eukaryota; Viridiplantae; Streptophyta; Magnoliopsida; Caryophyllales; Amaranthaceae
Exons: 3
Source: RefSeq, a predicted model, not a curated record